This 354-nucleotide unclassified non-coding RNA is filed under the name soil metagenome. RNAcentral describes it as "partial contains 5.8S ribosomal RNA, internal transcribed spacer 2, and large subunit ribosomal RNA". The stretch from base 1 to 120 matches the Rfam family "5.8S ribosomal RNA", at positions 35 to 154 of the family's 154-position model. The record is from RNAcentral.
GAUGAAGAACGUAGCGAAAUGCGAUAAGUAAUGUGAAUUGCAGAAUUCAGUGAAUCAUCGAAUCUUUGAACGCACAUUGCGCCCCCUGGCAUUCCGGGGGGCAUGCCUGUCCGAGCGUCAUUUCUGCCCUCCAGCCCGGCUGGGUGUUGGGCGCUGUCCCCCCGGGGACACGCCCCAAAGGCAGUGGCGGCGCCGCGUCGGGUCCUCGAGCGUAUGGGGCUUUGUCACCCGCUCGGGACGGACUCGUCGGCGCUGGUCUUCCUCCAGGCGACCCUUCGGGGCUCGUCUUCCUUCGGUUGACCUCGGAUCAGGUAGGGUUACCCGCUGAACUUAAGCAGAUCAAUAAGCGGAGGA